UAGGAUUAGAGGGAUUAUGCCUUGUUAAUCCUAAAAGUUUCCACUUGUUUAAUGCUUAUAUUUACACAACAAAAAAAACAGUCAUAUUCAGGCUGGGAUGAGGAAUACCUUUGGAAAGAAUUGAUAUACAUGUAUCAUAAUAUGUUAUGUAGGUUUCCAUUUCUAAGACUACAAUCAACCUAAAUAUGCAUGAACUAUUUGCCACUGGACAUUAAUCAACCAACAAUCAAUCAAAUCUUAGACUACAAAAUCACCCUGUCAUUGAGUCAACAGACUUUAAAUUCAAUGUAUUACUGCCCAGAGUCAUUUCCAAAACUCUCAUACAUAGUCUUUUUGUCUUGACUGCAACAAAAGUUGCAGAAAGCUAAACAUAGGGACUGGUGUCAAUUGUUUAGUUCUAAAGGAACUACUUGUGACAGAUCAUAGAUGUUUAAUAUGAAGUUGUAUAACUAUCAGUACAUAUCAGGUUGACAGAUCAUAGAUAUUUAAUAUAAAGUUACAUAACUAUCAGUACAUAUCAGGUUGAUGCCUAUUUCAAGGCCCUGCUCCCUAGAUCAUGAUCCUGGCGACUUUCAUAAUAAUUAGCACUUUUUCUGUGAUAAGUUUUCUGCUCAAAUUAGUUUGAUGGAAAUACAUCAACAAUUGUUUAGUAUUCUGCUUAAGUAACUGUAAAUUCAGUAAUUAUUGCAUACAUUUAUUAUUGUGAUUUUGUCAUUUUCGUCUAAAAUGCAAUUUUAAUUUGUGCAAUAUUGAGAAAAAUCUUUUAUAACAAAUUUCAAAAUGUGAGUUAAAACUAUUGUGAUUAUAACCCUGUCACAUUUUUUGUAAUAAUAAAUACAUCACAAUAAUUUGUGAUUUUACAGUAGUAUGAUAGGAACUACUUGUGAUAGACCAUAGAUAUUUAAUAUGAAGUUGUAUUACUAUUAGUACAUAUCAGGUUGACAGAUCAUAGAUAUUUAAUAUAAAGUUACAUAACUAUUAGUACAUAUCAGGUUGAUGCCUAUUUCAAGGCCCUGCCCCCU
Molecule: long non-coding RNA, 1022 nt
Filed under: Mytilus galloprovincialis (Mediterranean mussel)
Lineage: Eukaryota; Metazoa; Mollusca; Bivalvia; Mytilida; Mytilidae
Source: RNAcentral